GGCUAGACUAUAAACUCCAACCCUUUGUGACCUUACCGUCGUUGCCUCGGCGUGAGCUACGGCUACCCUGUAGCUACCCUGUAGUACCCUAUAGCUACCCUGUAGUACCCUACAGCUACCCUAUAGGUACCUUGAAGCUACCCUGUAGACGGCUUAUGGCCCGCCGAAGGACCGCUAAACUCUUGUUUUUAUUGCUGUUAUUCUGAAUUAUAAACUAAAAUAAGUUAAAACUUUCAACAACGGAUCUCUUGGUUCUGGCAUCGAUGAAGAACGCAGCGAAAUGCGAUAAGUAAUGUGAAUUGCAGAAUUCAGUGAAUCAUCGAAUCUUUGAACGCACAUUGCGCCCAUUAGUAUUCUAGUGGGCAUGCCUAUUCGAGCGUCAUUUCGACCCCUAAGCCCCUGUUGCUUAGCGUUGGGAAUCUACGGCGUAGUUCCUUAAAGUUAGUGGCGGAGUUAGGGUACACUCCCAGCGUAGUAAUAUCUCUCGCUUGUGUGGUGGCCCUGGCUGCUGGCCGUUAAAACCCCUAUAUCUUUUAGUGGUUGACCUCGAAUUAGGUAAGAAUACCCGCUGAACUUAAGCAUAUCAAA
This 588-nucleotide ribosomal RNA is filed under the name Hypoxylon fragiforme. RNAcentral's name for it is "eukaryotic LSU rRNA". The stretch from base 229 to 382 matches the Rfam family "5.8S ribosomal RNA". The record is from RNAcentral. Lineage: Eukaryota; Fungi; Ascomycota; Sordariomycetes; Xylariales; Hypoxylaceae.